UUCUUGUGCAUGUUUAAAACCGGAAGUCUUAUCUAUGACUAAAAGUCAGUCUGAUAACGGAAACAAUAUCCGGACACCUAUUUUGUCGUUUUUCUCCCAAAAUAACUCAAUCUGAAUAAUCAUAAGAACGGAUCACAAAUGCGACUAUGCAUGUUACCUAAAGAACACAGAGGCAUGAUGAUUAAUUUAUUGUGAAAGGAAGAGAAGCGACACACAAAAUGAGGUCUU
RNAcentral lists this long non-coding RNA (228 nucleotides) under Mytilus galloprovincialis (Mediterranean mussel). Lineage: Eukaryota; Metazoa; Mollusca; Bivalvia; Mytilida; Mytilidae. The record is from RNAcentral.